GUAGUCGACAUCUACCAAUGUGGCUCAGACUAGAAGUUAGUGACUUCAACGACUGAUGCCACGUUUUGGUUUGGCCGCC
RNAcentral lists this non-coding RNA (79 nucleotides) under Schistosoma japonicum. The record is from RNAcentral. Lineage: Eukaryota; Metazoa; Platyhelminthes; Trematoda; Strigeidida; Schistosomatidae.